GGGAUUCUGAGCCACAAGUUCCUUUUGUGGCCGCGGGAGGGCGUUAUUUGAUUCUCCAUGCCUUUUGUUCCAACCCUACCACUGCUUUUGGAGUGUUUAAAGCACUAAAUUAGGUCAUCAGUGGACCAAAUGGAGAGAGAAGAAGAAAGGGGAGGCCUCCUUCAAUCCUACUCAGCAUCCAAUAUCUCCUUCCCUGCUCCUCUCUGUAGCUCACUUCCCUGAUUUGACAAUAUGGGGUUUUGUGGAUAGUUCUUCACCUUUAUUAAGUUGAUGAGUAGCAGACUAAAGAACAAGGCCUCUAAGCUUAGCUUGUGGAAGCUGACAAACCUCCAGUUUUUAUUGUAUUUUUGUACUAUUAUACUCUGAUCACAUGUGUCUCUUAUGUGUCAAGAUGAGGACAUCUCAUCUCCAUAGCCUUAUGAGGUUUAAAGUAAUCUGAUCCUGUGAUAUAUUUCUUUUCCUGUGCAUAAAAUGUACAAUAUAGCAGGAGUGCAACUCCACUAGACAUUCAGCAAUAUGAACCCAAGACUUGUCACAUUGAGUUGCAAUGCAAAGCAGCUCAAGUGUUCAUCAAGAUUCAAGUUAUCACAUGCUCAUUGUAACUAUAAACACUAAGGAGGAUGGCAUU
This is a non-coding RNA of Musa acuminata subsp. malaccensis (wild Malaysian banana), 628 nucleotides long. NCBI's taxonomy places the organism in Eukaryota, Viridiplantae, Streptophyta, Magnoliopsida, Zingiberales, Musaceae. The record is from RefSeq and is a predicted model, not a curated record.